Molecule: long non-coding RNA, 1699 nt
Filed under: Prunus persica (peach)
Lineage: Eukaryota; Viridiplantae; Streptophyta; Magnoliopsida; Rosales; Rosaceae
Description: long non-coding RNA (PPER_LNC005778)
Source: RNAcentral
AUGUAUAAUACGUAACCUUCGAGGUCUCUAAAUGUAUUCAUUAAGCCCUUCAAGACCUUAAUUAAAGUAAUUCAAGGGCUUCAAAUAUAUUUUCACAUUGAGCUUCAAGUACUUACUAAUUCAAGUAAUUCAAAAAGGCUAAGAUAUAAAUUAAUUACAUAUAUGAAAUUAAAGAAGUUGGCAAAAAAAAUCAAAAGUAAAAAAACUGAUUGUAUAUUUUCAAAAUUCGCUAGGUUAGCAGGGUACAGCCGCUCGGCUACACUAUUUUUUAAAAAAAAUUAAGAAAAUCUAGUAUAGCCGGGCGGCUAUACUAUUUAUGUACAUAAUAGGGAUCCAGCCAGCACCUAGGCGCCACGUGUCAAACCAUGCGGCCGUACUGUUCCGAACAUUUAAAAAAAAAAAAAAGGGGUUAAAAGCGAGUAUAGCCGCGCGGCUAUACUAUAUUUCAAAAAAAUUUAAAAAUCUAUUAUAGCCGGGCGGCUGUACUAUUUAUAUACAUAAUAGGGAUCCAGCCAGCACCUAGGCGCCACGUGUCAAACCAUGCGGCUGUACAGUUCUGAACUUUUUUUUUAAAAAAAAAGGGUUAAAAGCGAGUAUAGCCGCGCGGCUAUACUAUUUUUAAACAGAAUUUAAAAAUCUAGUAUAGCCGGGCGGCUAUACUACUUAUAUACAUAAUAGGGAUCCAGCCAGCACCUAGGCGCCACGUGUCAAACCAUGCGGCUGUACAGUUCUGAACAUUUUUUUAAAAAAGGGUUAAAAGCGAGUAUAGCCGCGCGGCUAUACUAUUUUAAAAAGAAUUUAAAAAAUCUGGCCAGCACCUAGGCGCCACGUGUCAAACCAUGAGGCUGUGCUGUAUUCAGAAUUUUAAAAAAAAGGGUUAAAAGCGAGUAUAGCCGUGCGGCUAUACUAUUUUUAUAUUUUCAAAAGGGUCAAUAAUGUUUUUUAAAAAAGGUUAUUUUUAGUAAUUAAACAAUAUCUUAGCCUGAUUUAAUUACUUGAAUUAUGAAUUAUGUUCUAACUACUAUUUAUCUAGUGAAUAAUUGGUAUUAGAUAUUUUAAUUAACUUCAUAAAUGAUAUUACUUAAUAUAUAUAUCUUGCAUUUUUGUUAGAACAAGUGAGCUCUCACAUUCAUUCAUAAUUAGUAAAAUACGGAAGGAAAAAAAAUGCGAAUUAAAUACGUAUGUUUUUUAUUCGGCAAUAUCUUGGCACAUUACAACUUAAAAGUUCGGCCACUAUACUGUAUUUUUUAAAUAUAUAUUAUUUUUAUUCAAUAAUAUGUGAGUGUAUACGUGUGUUAAACAUGAAAAACACGUACGUGCAUGUAUAAUACGUAACCUUCGAAGUCUCUAAAUGUAUUCAUUAAGCCCUUCAAGACCUUAAUUAAAGUAAUUCAAGGGCUUCAAAUAUAUUUUCACAUUGAGCUUCAAGUACUUACUAAUUCAAGUAAUUCAAAAAGGCUAAGAUAUAAAUUAAUUACAUAUAUGAAAUUAAAGAAGUUGGCAAAAAAAAUCAAAAGUAAAAAAACUGAUUGUAUAUUUUCAAAAUUCGCUAGGUUAGCAGGGUACAGCCGCUCGGCUACACUAUUUUAAAAAAAAAAUUAAGAAAAUCUAGUAUAGCCGGGCGGCUAUACUAUUUAUAUACGUAAUAGGGAUCCAGCCAGCACCUAGGCCCCACGUGUCAAACCAUGCGGCCGUACUG